UGGACCUGAUAUCAGGCAAGAUUACCCGCUGAACUUUAA
RNAcentral lists this ribosomal RNA (39 nucleotides) under Phytophthora drechsleri var. cajani. Its description in RNAcentral is "partial 28S ribosomal RNA". Lineage: Eukaryota; Oomycota; Peronosporomycetes; Peronosporales; Peronosporaceae. The record is from RNAcentral.